Molecule: long non-coding RNA, 272 nt
Filed under: Callithrix jacchus (white-tufted-ear marmoset)
Lineage: Eukaryota; Metazoa; Chordata; Mammalia; Primates; Cebidae
Description: lncRNA (ENSCJAG00000079475.1)
Source: RNAcentral
AUGCUCAUUUCAGGAGAUGUGUCUGUGUUUCAGGGCAACAGACAUGCCUGUAACUCCAACUGCAAAGGAGACUCAAGUAGACAAGCCCAUGGCCACCCUAGGCAAAGUCUGAUGGGACAGGAGAACGUACAUGUGAGCGGAGAAGAUACACACAGUACAUGUAUCCAAUUUUUCUUACUGUUGGUAAUGACUCAUGAGCACAGCAAUUCUAGUGGGCCCACCUUGCGUGAGAGUUCAGUGAUACUCAAAGUGAAUACAAGAUGAGAAUGUUA